UACGUAGGGGGCAAGCGUUGUCCGGAUUUAUUGGGCGUAAAGAGCGUGUAGGCGGCUAUACAGGUCCGCUGUGAAAACUCGAGGCUCAACCUCGAGACGUCGGUGGAAACCGUAUGGCUAGAGGUCCGGAAGAGGAGAGUGGAAUUCCUGGUGUAGCGGUGAAAUGCGCAGAUAUCAGGAAGAACACCCGUGGCGAAGGCGGUUCUCUGGGACGGUACUGACGCUGGAGACGCGAAAGCGUGGGGAGCGAACAGG
This 255-nucleotide ribosomal RNA is filed under the name uncultured bacterium. RNAcentral's name for it is "partial 16S ribosomal RNA". It matches the Rfam family "Bacterial small subunit ribosomal RNA", at positions 524 to 776 of the family's 1533-position model. The record is from RNAcentral.